This is a long non-coding RNA of Gallus gallus (chicken), 2672 nucleotides long. NCBI's taxonomy places the organism in Eukaryota, Metazoa, Chordata, Aves, Galliformes, Phasianidae. The record is from Ensembl.
CCUGGGUGCAAAGAGGACAGGUGACAGCAGUGUUCCUCCCUGUGUUGUUCCUAUACCACCAGCAUUUGGGUUAGCAGCAACACACGCACACAUGAGCAUGCAGCAAAGAGGCAACAGCUGCUUCUCGCUGGCCCAGAUUGGGAUUUUAAUUAAGGAGAAGAUUUGGGGGAAUAAAGGGGGGAAAUCAUUCUGAAAGCUUUAAUUAAAGAAGCUCAGGGCGAGGCAGGGUGAUGGGAAGGGAUGCAUCCUGCUGUGGCUGGGGAGGGUGAGUUCUGACCCCAUUGGGACACGCAGCGUGGAGGGGAUGGGGCGGCCCCUGUGCACCCCCUGGAUUGAGAUGCUGCAGAUCUCCAGUGAGACCCAAAGGCAGACCCCCAGAGAAGCAGAAAUGGUCAAUAAUGCUGGGUGUGAAAUGCCAUAUCAAAGCCACGCAGGGUUGGUUGGAAGUGAGACUGUAAGUGCUGCAAGGAGGAAGAGCUGCUUGGAAGGUGCGAGAGGAGCACAGCUGAACCCAACCCCUGCCACAAAGUGUGGGCACCUGUGUCGGGAACACAGCUGGACUAAACUCCUGCAGCACAAAGACUCCACGAAGUGCCUUUCCAAAGGGCAAGAGCCCACCUUCAUCAGAGGCCACAGCCAAAGGAGAGAGGUUUGGACCCCAUCCUGACACCCAGAACUGGGGUUGCAUCCUUGGACGUGUGAGAUGCAGCCAUGUGCCCAGGGCUGGGGCUUCUCUGUCACCAGUAAAUGGGGUUUGGGAGAGAAAAGUGCCACGUCAGUCCCACAAAGGCCCCCAGCAGGCCAUCACCCCCUGCUUGCUCCAGGCUCCCCAGACCUCUGAUGUGCACACAGAAAGCUGUUGGGCUCCAGGACCCAAAUGAAGCCAGGGAGAAGAUUCCAGUGCUGUUUUAAAGCAAUUUUCCUUUUCCCUGGCACGUUUGCCAUUGCACAGCUCCAGCUCAUUCCUCAGCUCCGAGGCCGUGCAGGACCUGUUGCAAGUAGAGAUGCUGUGGGGGGAGCUUUGCUGAGGGUCUCUGCAACCCAGGGAAUUCCAAACCUAUUGCAUCACUCCUCUGAGCAUUGCACACCUCAAUCCCAGGCUGCAGCUUUCAUCUUAAGCAAUCACGUACAAAGUGUCGUUUUGCAUAAGAAGAAAGGAGCACGUCACUCUAGAAGUGAUCUCAUCAUCCCUGAGCCCGGAGUUACACCGAGCAAAGCAAAGCUGCUAUCGAGGGAACUGCUUUGGUCUCAUCAAGGUUCCCACCUCCUCCACCCCAAAGCAGCUCCGAGAUGCAAAUCAAGCACAAAAGCCACCCGGGCUCCUCCGCAGCCCUCUGCCCACGUGCCUGGAAGGCAGCAGCCGGCGCCAGCGCCGCGUGGUGUGCGCAGAAAGGUUAACGCAGUGUGCAAUGGGCCGGGGGCACUGCGUGGGGCUGGGCGGCUCUGGGCAAAGCUGGAGGGUCCCGCGUGGGAGGUGACCUCUGUGGGGACCCCAACACCUCCCUGAUGUGCUUGCUUCAAUCCUCGAUAUUUUCAGGCUUUGCACUGCUCUCCUCCUCUGGCCCCCACGUUUCACCCCCCCCCCACCUCUGCAAAAGCAGCAGGAAGGCGGAGCUGGGAGCUGCACCUGCUGGGCAGGGUGGGAGCUUUCACCCGACCUCUCCUUGUGCUUUGCUUUGGGGUCCUGUGCACCGAGUCGCCCUGGUUUCCCAGCACCCCAACACGGGGCAUUUGCUGUUGGCCCCGCUGCAAGUCCCGGGGCAGGCAGCAGAAAGCAGCUCCAGAAAUGUACAGGCUUUGGGCCCAUUGCCCGUGUGUGGGCUGGGCUUGCAAAGCAGAUGGAGAGAAGGGGCUUGGAGGUGCUUCACUCAAGACAGGGGUGAAAACAGUGCGAAACCUGUAAACUUGUAUUUAUAUAAUGGCCGAUUAUCAGGGAGACCACCCGGAUGUCCACGGUUAAACCAGAGCUCUGCUCACCCCAAAACAAAGCACCCACGUUCUGCAUCCAGAGCAGUACCAGCAGAUGCAUCCUCAGCAGCUCCUGUGGGCAGCACAGCCCUUCCCACCCCCUGCGGACCUAACUUUGAGGCCAUUCCUCCCCAGUGGGCUGCACCAGGCACCCCAGGGGCCAGCUGGGAUGAUUUCAGGGCCGCUCAGCUGCCUGGCUGGGGGUGGGGAAGGUAAUCCAUAUUGCUGAGGUCUCAUUGGUAUUCUGCAGUUUCAGCUCAUUAGCCCUUAGGUGCUAUCAGAGCGAGAGCAUUGGAAGUUUCUGGGCUGAGACAGCUAUUAGGAGAGGAUGGAACGCAUCUCACACAACCCGAUGCCCUGCAAGAGCUCACUGAUUUACGCUAUCGAUCUUGAAGGUGCCCACACGCUGCCUGAACCUAAAAAAACCCAACCCUGCCCUACAUACAGCCCCAGCCACCUUCAGAAAAGAGGGGAAGGGAAGGGAAGGGAAGGGAAGGGAAGGGAAGGGAAGGCUGAGGAAAAUAGAUAACCCAGAGAGCUCCCUGCAAUAGGCUCUCCAGGAGCACCACCAGCUCCCAGUAUAACCAGCGAGGGCUGAUGGGGGCACUGGGUACCCAUCACAGCCAGCUCAGCACAGGGCAGGGCCAGAUGCCACCCCCCCCCAGUGCCACUUCUGCUCUCCUGGGCUGGCUGAGGUGUGAUGA